Molecule: long non-coding RNA, 35214 nt
Filed under: Lathyrus oleraceus (garden pea)
Lineage: Eukaryota; Viridiplantae; Streptophyta; Magnoliopsida; Fabales; Fabaceae
Description: Pisum sativum (pea) long non-coding RNA (PSAT_LNC040039)
Source: RNAcentral
CAAAACAAGAACCCUAAUAACACUAUCAAUCUUCACAUUUCUUGAUAACAAUAUACAUAAUUUAGCAAAACAAGAACACUAAUAACACUAUCAAUCCUCUCAUUUCUUGAUAACAAUAUACGAAAUUCAGCAAAACAAGAACCCUAAUAACACUAUCAAUCUUCUCAUUUCUUAAUAACAAUAUACAAAAUUCAGCAAAACAAGAAUAUUAAUAACAUUAUCAAUCUUCUCAUUUCUUGAUAACAAUAUACAAAAUUUAGCGAAACAAGAACACUAAUAACAUUAUCAAUCUUCUCAUUUCUUGGUAACAAUAUACAAAAUUUAGCAAAACAAGAACACUAAUAACACUGUCAAUCUUCACAUUUCCUGAUAACAAUAUACAACAUUUAGCAAAACAAGAACACUAAUAACACUAUCGAUCUUCUCAUUUCUUGAUAACAAUAUACAAAAUUUAGCAAAGCAAGAACACUAAUAACACUAUCAAUCUUCUCAUUUCUUGAUAACAAAAUAGAAAAUUUAGCAAAACAAGAACACUANUAAUAACACUAUCAAUCCUCUCAUUUCUUGAUAACAAUAUACAAAAUUUAGCAAAACAAGAACAUUAAUAACAUUAUCAAUCUUCUCAUUUCUUGAUAACAAUAUACAAAAGUUAGCGAAACAAGGAGACUAAUAACACUAUCAAUCAUCUCAUUUCUUAAUAAUAAUAUACAAAAUUUAGCAAAACAAGACCCCUAAUAACACUAUCAAUCUUCUCAUUUCUUGAUAACAAUAUACAAAAUUAAGCAAAACAAGAACACUAAUUACACUAUCAAUCUUAUCAUUUCUUGAUAACAACACACAAAAUUUAGCAAAACAAGAACACUAAUAACACUAUCAAUCUUCAUAUUUCUUGAUAACAAUAUACAAAAUUUAGCAAACCAAGAACACUAAUAACACUAUCAAUCCUCUCAUUUCUUGAUAACAAUAUACAAUAUUCAGCAAAACAAGAACCCUAAUAACACUAUCAAUCUUCUCAUUUCUUGAUAACAAUUUACAAAAUUCAGCAAAACAAGAACACUAAUAACACUAUCAAUCCUCUCAUUUCUUGAUAACAAUAUACAAAAUUUAGCAAAACAAGAACAUUAAUAACAUUAUCAAUCUUCUCAUUUCUUGAUAACACUUCUCUCUAGUAACAAUUACAAAUUUAGCAAAGAACACUUAAUAACUUAUCAAUCUUACUUCUGAUAACAUCACUAUUUAGCAAAACACACUUACAAUCAAUCUUCUAAUUUCUGAUACACAUACAAAAUUAGCCCAAAACAAAGACAUAUACACUAUCAUCUUCAUUUUUGGUACAAUAUACGUAUUAGCACAGAAAUAAUACCAUCUCCAUCCUUCUUUUUAGAUACAAUAAUACAAAAUUAACAAAGAACACUAUAACCUUCAUCCUGAUUCUAUAACAUAUACAAUAGAAACAAAAGUACGACUAAUUAACACUAUCAUUUCUCAUUUCUUGAAACAAUUACAAAUUUAGCCAACAAAGAACACUAAUAAACCUAUCAUCUUCAUUCUGAUACAAUAUACAAUUUAGGGAAACAAAGACGCUAGUCAUUGCUUACUCAUCUGAUACAAUAUACAAAUUGCAAAACAAACACUAAUAACUAUCAUCUUACAUUUCAUUGAUAACAUAUACUCAAAUCAGCAAACAAAGACACUACACACUAUCAAUCUUCUCAUUCAUUCGAACAUAUACCAAAUUCAGCAAACAGACAACUAAUAACACUAUCAUUCCUCAUAUUGAACAAGAACAAAUAGCAAACAAAAAGAAGAUUAAACAUUAUCCAUUUUCUCUUCUGAUACAAUACAAAAUUUAGACCAAAACAAGAACACUAUACCUAUUCAUCUUCUCAUUUUAAUCAAAAAAUAGAAUUAGCAAAACACACUAAACCUAUCAAUCAUCUCAUUUUGAUAACAAAUACAAAAUUGCAACAAACACAUAACCUACUCAUCUAUUCAUUUUGGAUCACAAUAUACAAAUUAGCAAACCAGGGGAGCACUAAUAAUUAUCAAUCCUCUAUUCUGUAAACAACUAUUUAGCAAACGCUAGACUAUCAUCUUUCAUUUCUAUAACUAUAAUUUAGCAAAACAAGAACCUAUCCCACUGUCAAUCCUCUCAUUUUUGUACAAAUAUCAAAAUUCGCAACCAGAACACUAAUACCAUCAUCUUCAUUUCUUGACACAACAAUUUAGCAACAGAACUAAUAAUAACGAUUAUCAAUUAUCUAUUCUGAUAACAAUACAAAUUAAGCGAACAAGAAAUAUACACUAUAAUUUCUCAUUCUUAUAACAUUACAAUUAGACAGACCUAAUAACACUACAUCUUUCAUUUCUUGUAACAUUACAAAUUUGCAAACAACACUAUAACAUCAAGUUCUCUUCUGAUGACAAUAUACAAAGUUUGCAAAGCGGGAGGAACUCCAACUGUGGCAGGUGUUCAUUUUUGGGGAGGUACAAAUAGUAGACAUUUGAGGCAACUGGAUAAUCAGGUAUCAUCUUUUCUGUAACAUAUACAAAUUUUAGCACAAGACGGGGACUUAACAUUCGCUUCAUUGUGGCGGGAACAAUAGGUAGGUUAGCAAACAUCGCUAAUGCACUAUCAAUUCCGUGGGUGUCUUGAUAAAUGGGUCAAUUAGCACGAAACACUAUCAUAUCAGAUCUUCAAUUGGUGAACAUGUAAUAAGGGUAGCAAACGAAGACUACACUUCAUCCUCUUUUUCUUGGAUCUGGCGUGGAUUGACAAGGUGUGAAGACAAAUACACUAUCAGGUUUCGUGGGGUUCUUGUAAAUUACAAAAUUGGUUGCGAACGAGGAACAUAACACUAUCAAUUUUCAUUUUGAUACUGAUAAAUUUAAGCCAGACAUAUCACUAUCUUCUAUUUGUCAAUAAAUUUAGAACGCUCAUUUUCAUUUCUUAGAUACAUUACAAUUAGCAAACAGAAAUUAAUCUUCAAUUCUUGUACAAUAUCAAAUCAGCAGACAAAUACCUUUUUUCUCUUCUUAUAUCAAAUUCGCACAAGACACUAUACCUAGCAUCCUAUUUCUUGUAAAAAUAUACAAAUUUAGCAAACAAGAACAUUAAUACAUUAUCAUCUUCAUUUCUUGAACAUAUACAAUUUAGUACAAACAGAACCAUAACCUAUCAAUCUUCUCAUUCUUAAUAACAUGAUUUGCUUUAACUAGACCUAAACUCAUCAUCUGCUUUGAUAAAGACAAAUUAGCAAACAGGACCUAUACUAGAUUUCUCAUUCUGUAAAUAUACAAUUUAGCAACGAAGAACCUAAAUAACAUUAUCUCUCUAUUUAUUUAACUAUACAUAUUAGCAAACAGCACUUCUCUUCUGAUUUUUAACAUUACAAAUGUGCAAACAAGACACUAAUACUUCAUCUUAUUUUUAGUAAGAUACAAUUCGCACAAGAACAUGGAAUCAUCAUCAUCUUCAUUUCUUGACUUACAAUUAGCCAAACAGGAAAUUAAUAACUUAUCAAUCUUCUCAUUUCUUGUAACAAUAUACAAAUUUAGCCGAACAGCAUAUAACGCUAUUCACUUUAUUUUUAACAUACAAAUUAGACAAGAACCUAAUAACACUUCAUUAUUCAUUGUCUUUAACAAUAUAAAAUUAGCAACAGAACACUAAACAUAUCAUCCUCUUUUGCUUGAACAAUAAUCAUAAUUUGCACAGAACAUACUUUCUCUUUCUUAUACUUCAAAUUAGCAAACAAACCUUACCUUCAUCCUUAUUUUGAUAACAAUAUACAAUUCGCAACAAACCUAACCUAUCAUCCUAUCAUUUAUUGCACAUAUACAUUUAGCAAACAGCUUAAUACUUAUCAAUCUUCUCAUUGCACAUAUACAAAUUAGCCGACAGAAUUAACCUAUCAUUUCAUUUCUUUACACAUCUACAGAUUUUAAGCACAAGACCUAAUACCAUAUCUCUUUUUCUUGUAACAUAUACAUCAACAGACCAUAAAUCAUUCUAUUUCUGAUCAUAUACUUGCAGGAAACAUAACACUGUCAUUUCUCUUUCUUAUAACAAAUGAAAUGGUUAGCACAAGAAUAAUAAGAUCAAUCUUCUAUUCUGUAAAAUCAAUUUAGCAAACAGCACUUAAUAUCAUCCUCUCUUCUUGUACAUCAUAAUUUAGCCACUACUAUAACAUACAUUUUCAUUUCUUGUACACUCAUUAGCAAACAGAACUAUCACUUCCAUUAUUUCUUGAACAUUUAAUGCAAACGAAGAUUAACCUCUCUCCUCUUUUCUGUAACAAUAUACAAAUUUACAAGAAACAUAAUAACUUCAAAUCUUCUGAUUUCUUGAUAAUAUACAAAUUUAGACAAAACAGACAUAUCGACUAUAUCUUAUUUCUUGAAACAUUAUACAAUUAGGCAACAGCCUAUACCUAUCAUCUUCUAUUUUUGUAAUUAAUUAGGAAAAAACAUAUCAUCUUUCAUUCUUGUACAAUAUAAAAUUAGCAAACAAAGCACAAUAAACCUCUAUUCAAUUCUUGUAACAUUACAAAUUCAGCAAACGAACAUAAUACAUAUCAUUGGCUCUUCUUGAUAACAAUAUACGAAUUCAGCAAACAGAACACUAAUAACAUUCAUCGUCCUCUCUUUCUUUGUAACAUUACAAUUAGCAAACAGACAUUAACAUUAUCAUUCUCAUUUACUGUAACAAUAUACAUUUGCAAACAGACCUAUCAUAUCUCUUCUCAUUUUUAAAUACAAAAUAGAAAAUUAGCAACAAGAUAAUAACACUAUCAAUAUCUCAUUUCUGUACAAGUACAAAAUUUAGCAACAAGACAUAUACACUAUCAAAUCUUCUUUUUCUGAUAACAUAUACGACUUAGCAACAAGAACACUAUUAUCACCUCUAUUCUGAUACUUACUUUGCAAAACAGAACCUCAAUUCUUUCUUUAUAACUGAAAAUAUUGCAAACAAAGAACAUAUACAUUCAUCUCUAUUCUGUACAUAUACAAAUUAGCAAACAGACACUAACACUUCAAUCUUCUUUUGAACAAUUCAAAAUUUGCAAAACAGCUUCUAAUUAUCAAAAUUUUCUUCUGAUAACAAUAUACAAAAUUCUAGGACGCAUAUCCUUCAUUUUCUUUACAUAUACAAAAUUUAGCAACAGAACUUACCUAUCUUUUAUUUCUUGUAAAGAAAAAUUAGCACAAACUAAUAACGCAAUCCAUUUUCUCAUUUCUGAAACAAUUACAAAUUUAGCCAAAGCAGAACUAUACUUCAAUCUUCUCUUUCUUAAUAAGCAAAUAGAAAUUGACAAGAACACUAUACUACAUCUUCCUUUCUUGAUACAUAUCAAAUUUAGUCGCAAACAAGCUAAUACUUAUCAAUCCUUCUUUCUUGAUCAAUCUAUAAAAUGUUUUUUAGGGGCAAAAACUACACUAUAACACUAUCCUUUCAUUCUUGAUAACAACAUACAAAUUUGAACAGAAACCUUAACCAUCUUCUUCAUUUCGAUCUUAAUAAUUUUCAACAAAACAAUAAUACACUUCAAUCCUCUCAUUUCUGAUAACAUAUACAAAUAACAAAGCAAGACACUAAUACACUUCAAUCUUCUGAUUUCUUGUAACAUAGUACAAAAUUUAGCAACAGACAUUAACACUAUCAAUAUUUUCUGUACAAUAUACAAUAAAUUAGCACAAGACAUAUAACACUAUCCAAUUUCUAUUCUGUACAAUAUACAAAUUUAGGGGAAACAAGAACACUACAAUCUUCUCAUCAUCUAACAAUAUACUAUAGCAAAACAGACCAUAAAAACUAUUCAAUCCUUCCACAUUGUUUGAUACAAUAUACAAAAUUCAGCAACAAACAUAUAACACUAUCAAUUUCUAUUCUGAAACAUAUCAAAUCAGAAAACCAGAACCACUAAAUCACAUAUCAUCUCUUCUUUCCUUGGAUACAAUAUACAAAAAUUGUAGCAACCAAGAAAGAAAACAUUAUGCUGAGGAGGUCUCUAUUGUGUCGGUGGGAGUGGACAUUACGAAAAUGGGUGGGCAAACAAGAACACUUGUAGGAUAACGCGUGUAUCAAAUCUUUCAUUUCUAGUGGAGGACAAUAAAAAUUAGGCAAGACGGGGCAGGACGGGGAGGGCGUAAUGGUGGCACUAUCAAUCGUGGGGGAUCUCAUUCUGUGGUAUGUGGGACAAAUACAAAUUUAGCAAAAACGAAGACGGGACGUAAUAACACAUCAAUGGUGUGGUAUUCUCGAGGUGGAGAAAUUUACAAAGUUGAGCAAACGGAGACACUAUACAUACAGGUUGUGUCUCUUCAUCUUGAUAACAUAUACUAUUUAGCAAAACAAGAACACUUCAAUCUUCUCAUAUUCUAAUAACAACUGUAUAACAAAUUUAAGCAAACAAUGAACACUAUAACAACUUAUCAAUCCUCUCGAUUUCUUGAUACACAAUAUACAAAAUUCAGCAGAAACAGAACAUAAUCAACACUAUCAUCCUCUCAUUUCUUGACAACAAAACAAUUUAGCAAAACAAGAACAUGUACUAACACUUAUCAAUCUUCUUCAAUUUCUUGAGAUACAAUAUACAAAAUUUAGCGAACAAGAAGAACACUUAAUUAACACGAUGCAAUUUUCAUUUCUUAAUACAACUAUACAAAAUUUAGCAACCAAGAACACUAAUACAACUAUCAUAUCUUCUCAUUUCUUGCAUACAAUAUACAAAUCUAGCACAAACGAGAACACUAAUAACACAAUCAAUUUUCUCAUUCUUGAUAAAAUAUACAAAAAUUUUAGCAAAGCAAGAACACUAAUAACACGUAUCCAAUCACUUCUCAUUUCUUAAUAACAAUAGAAAAUUUUAGCAAACAAGAACAACUUAUAACACUAGUCAAUGCUCUCAUUCGUUUGCAAACAAUUAUACAAAUUAUAGCCCACAAGACAAUAAUACAAUUAUCAUCCUCUCAUUUCCGAGCGGGGACACUACAUAAUUUAGCAAAAACAAUAACCUAAUAACACUAUCAGAUCUUCUCAUUCUUGAUAACAACAUACAAAUUUAGCAAACAAGAACAUAAUAACCUAUACGCUUCACAUUUCUUAGAUAACAAUAUCAUAAUUUAGCAAAAACUAAGACAAUAAGAACACUCUCAAUCCUCUCUUUUCUGAUAAACAAUAAUACAAAUUUAACAAAAGAGAACACUAAAUAACACUAUCAAUCUUGCUGAUUUCUUGAUAAACAAUAUACAAAUCUUGGCCCCACAACAAGAAAACACUAAUAACACAUCAAUCUUCUCAUUUAUGAUAGAUAAAUAAACAGAAAUAAAUACAUGACCCAUCUCUAUAUCAAAAACAAAGAUAGCAAAACGCAUUUCAAUUCACAUAAAAUAGAAACACAAUCACUCAUUCUUAACAUAUACAAAAUUUAAAAACCUAAUACUAUCAAUUCUUCUUGAUAACAUAUACAAAAUUUAGCAAAACAAGAACACUAAUAACUAAUCAAUCUUCACAUUUCUUGAUAACAAAACAAAAUUCUAGCAAACAGACAACCUAAUAACACUGAUCAAUCUUCUCAUUUCUUGAUCAACAAUAUACAAAUUAGCAAAACUAAGAACACUAAAUAACACUAUAAUCUUCUCAUUCUUAUAACUAAUACAAAAUUUAGCAAACAGAUUCCUAAUACACUAUCAUCUUCUCAUUUCUUGAUAACAUAUACAAAAUUUAGCAAACAAGACACUAAUACACUACAAUCUUCUCAUUUUCUGAUAACGAAUUAUCAAAUUUAGCAAAACAGAACACUAAUAACACGUAUCACUUCUCAUUUCUUGAUAACAAAUAAGAAAUUUCAAACAAGCACUAAUACACUAUCAUCUUCUCAUUUCUUGAUAACAAAUACAAAAUUAGCAAAACAAGAACACUACCAUAACACUAUCAAAUCCUCUCAUUUCUUGAUAACAAUAACGAUAAAUUUAGCCAAAACAAGAUACACUAUACUCAAUCAUCUCUCAUUGUCUUGAUAAGCAAUAUACAAAAUGUUGAGCAAAACAAAAAACAAUAAUAACACUAUCAAUCGCUCUCAUUUCUGACAACAAUAUACACAAUUCUAUGCACACAGAACCCUAAAACACUUAUCAUUUCUCAUUUUCUUGAUAACAAUAACAAAAUUCUAGCAAAAGAACACUAAUACACUAUAAGCAAUCUCUCAUUCCUUGAUAACAAUAUACCAAAAUUUACACAACAAAGAACAUCUAAUAAACAUAUCAUCUUCUCAUUUCUGAAACAAUAUAACACAAAUUUAGGAAACAAGCCGAACAACUAAUAAUACUAUCAAUCAUCUUUCUUUACUUCAACAUAUACAAAUAUUAGCAAAACAAGCACACAAUAACACUAUCGAUCUUCCUCAUUUCUUUGAUAACCAAUAUACAAAUUAGCUAAACAAGAACACUAAUAACACUUAUCAAUCGUCUUCAUUUCUUAGUAAACAUAUACAAAUUUAGUCAAUAACAAAAACUAAUAACACUAUCAAUUCUCUCAUUCUAAUAACAAUAAUACAAAAUUUAGCAAACAAGAACCUAAUACACUAUCAAUCUUCACAUUCUGUGGAUAACAAUAUACAAAAUUUAGCGAAACAAAGAACCACUAAUAACACAAUCAAUUUUCUCAUUUUGAUAACAAUAUCAAAGUUUAGCAAGCAAGAACACUAAAUACACUAUCAAUCUUCUGAUAUUCUGAUAACAUAUACACAAUUUAGCCAAACGAAGAAACAUUAUAACACUAUCAAUCUAUUCAUUCUUAAUACAUAUACAAAUAUUAGCAAACAAGAACACUAAUAACACUUCAAUCUUCUCAGUUUCUUCGUAACAUAUACAAAAUUUUAGGCAAAACAGAACGAUAAUAACCUCUCAAUCUUUCUAUUUCUUGUAACAAUAUACAAAAUUUAGGAAAACAAGAACACUAUCAAUCUUCUCAUUUCUUUAUAACAAAUAUACAAAUUUAGCAAACUCAAGCACUAAUUUAACUAUCAAUCUUCACGAUUUCUUGUAUAUAUACCAAAAUUCAGCAAAACAAGAACCCUAAUAACACUAUCAUCUUCUCCUUGAUAACAAUAUACAUAAUUUAGCAAAACAAGAACACUAAUACACUAUCAAUCCCUCUUCAUUUAUUUGAUACAAUGUACAGAAAUUUGAAUCAACAAGACAUUAAUAACACUAUCAUCUAUCUCAUUUCUUGAUAACAUAUACAAAAUCUAGAAAACAGAAGCACCUAAUACACUAUCAAUCUCUCAUUCGUGAUAACAAUAUUACAAAAUUCAGCAAAGCAAGAACACUAAUACACUAUCAAUCUCUCAUUUCUGAUAACAACAUACAAAAUUUAGCAAAACAGAACAUCUAAUAACAUUAUCAAUCUUCUCAUUCUUCUGAUAACAAUAUACCAAAAUUUAACAACAGAACACUAAUAACACUUAUCAAUUCUUCUCAUUUCUUGCAUACAAUAUACAAUAAUUGUAGCAGAAUACUUAAAAACACUAUCAACUUCUUCUUGCAUAAAAUUGCAAAAAGAAUAUAACCUUUAUUUCAUCUCUAACAUAUACAAAAUUUUUUAGCAAAACAAGAACACUAAUAACAUAUCAUCCUCUCGAUUUCUUGACUAAAAUUAUACAAAAAUUUCAAGCAAACAAGACAUAAUAACACUAUCAUCCUUCUCAUUUCUUGAAACAAUAUAACAAAUUUCAGCACCAAACAAAGAACAUAAUAACAUCUUCAAUCUCUCAUUUUUUGAAUACAAUAUACAAAAUUCUAGCGAAACAAGAACCUAAUAACACUAUCGAUUUUCCUGGCAUUUCUUGAAUAACAAUAUACAAAUUAGCAAAACAAGACCAUUAAUAACAUAUCAAUCUUCUCAUUGUCUUGAUACAAUAUACAAAAUUUGCGAAACAAGGACACUAAUAACACUACAAUCAUCUUUCUCAUUUAUCUUAUAACAAUUUAUACAAAAUUUAGCAAAACCAAGACCCUAAUAACCGAUCAAUCUUCUCAUUCCUUGAUAACAAUACAAAUUCAGCAACAAGAACCUGAAUACACUACUUCAUCUUCUCAUUUCUGAUCAACAAUAUACAAAUUUAGCAAAACAAGAGACACUAAUACACAUUCUAUCACUUUCAACUCUCAUUGCAUGACCUUUGGCUAACAAAAAGGAUACCCAAAUUUAGCAAACAACAAUACAAUAAUCACCAUUAUCCAACAUCUUCUCAUUUCUUGAUAACANACUAUCAAUCUUCUCAUUUCUUGAUAUAUACAAAAAUGUUAGCGGAAAACAAGAACACUAAUAACACUAUCAUCAUCUUCUCAUUUCUUACAUACAUAUAAUACAAAAUUUAGCAAAACAAGACACCUAAUAACACAUCAAUCUCUCAUAUUCUUGAUAACAUAUACAAAAUUAGCAAAACAAGAACCCUAAUAACACUAUCAAUCUUCUCAUUUCUUGAUAACAAUAUACAAAAUUCAGCAAAACAAGAGACACUAAUACAUUCACUCAAUCUCUCAUUUCUUGAUAUACAAGAUAUACACAAAUUUAGACAAAACAGCAAAUCAAAUUAAUCACAUUAUCACAUCUUCUCAUUUCUUGAUAUACAAAUUAUAAAUUACCUUCAAUUUCUCUUAUUUGUUCUUCCCUCUACCGCCUCCGGAUUGAUACUACUAGGUUUUUUACUAGCUUUGAAAGGAGAUCGGAAUAUUGCUCUAUUGGCAGUCGGAAAAAAUUUUUUUAUAAGCCAUCCUUCCUAUUUCCUUCAUGUCCAGAAUGAAUAAAUAUACAAGAAUGUUAGCAAAACUAGGAAAAAAAAAAGAACGACUAGAUUUUAACCUACUUUCUGUUUAAUCUUUUCUCAUCUUAUAACUAAUUUAAUAUAUAUAAAUUUAGAAUCGUGUGUUAGAGAAAAAAAAAAGAAAAAAAAAAGAUAUACUAAUUUAUACACUAUUUCUAUUUCAUUUCUUCAUGAUUUCUUGAUAAGAAAAAUACUCUAAAAUUUAGCAUUAAACUUAAGAAACACAACUAUAUAAUAUCUUAUUUCUUCACAUUUUCCUUUCGUUAACAAUUAGUGAAAAUAAUUUCUAAGGAAAAUAAGUGUAAAAGAGACGAAAAACGAAAAAAAAAAAAAAAAAGAGGAACGAGAAGAAACAUAAGAAGAAUAAAAACAACGAUAAAAAACUCUGAGGAUUUUCCUCUUUAAUAAGCUUCAGUUUGCGGUGUUAUGGAUACUAACCAUACAUAAUAAACGGUUUCACGCAAAUUAUCCGAUUUUUAUCAUCAGAGCAGAAACAUCAACGAGAACGCGAGCUAUGUUUUUGAAGAGAACACUUGGAAGUCUCUCUUGAUAACUGUGGUCGCUAUAAUAUAGUGAUAGGCGUUAUGUCUUAGGGACACGCUUGAGAGCAUCUAUGGUAUCAACUCGAAUCAAAGGAGUGAGAGAUAGUAAAUCAAGGAUUCAUAAAUCUACAAUAACACUUAUGUGUUUUGUCUUGUCGAAAACUAGAGGAUUGGAUCAUUUUCUUCUCGGUGGUCUUUAUACAAAUCAAUAGUCAACUUUAGAUUAAUAAAUAUCUUACCAUUAUUUCCUUCAGCUUAUUAGAAUUUGGUGGUGUGGACGUUACUCCUUAAGCUACAGAUAGGGAAUCGAAAUUGAAUAAAACAGGGGAGGUGGGGUAGCAGAAUUUAGGGCAUUAAAGCGGAAGGGAAGGUGGACGAGGACUGAGGCUGGGGAGAUAGACACGGGUGGAAUGCGAGAGGUCCUCUCAUGAUGUGCGGAGUUGAUAACAAAAGUGGAUACAGAGAGCAAGGUUCGGUAACCGACCUAAACAAAUCUUUGUUGAUUGUUCUCUCUUUUCAUAUAAUCUGGCUAAGUUUGCAUAAAUUGAAGUCUGAUAGUUUGGUGAAUUAAUAGUAAAACUUUUAAUCACUACCACUUACAUUGUGUGCAAUUUAAAGAUUGUAAUCAGAACAUAUUAAAUUGGUAUGCAAGCAUUCACUUUCGAUUGCAGAAUCCUAUAAGGAAAAAUUCAUGGCACUCAGUUAAUUGAUGAAUAGAAUAAAAUUGAGAACUUAGGGUUGGAGUGCACACAAGUGAUUAUUCAUAUAAAUGGAUUAUUCAGCUUAAGAGUCGAUUAAUGAUAACAAACAUAAAUAACAACCUCUUCACCCACUAAUCAAUAGCUCUUCUGUUCUCAAUUAUUUCACUUAUUCUCUUAUGUGUCUAUCCAUUAGCAUGAGGACACAUACUCCAAAGGAUUGUUGUAAAUUAAUUGAUAUGCAUUUAAUUUUUAAAAUAGUUCGUUAGAUUAUAUCUCUUUUAGAUCAGUCUCCCAUUAUGGUUUACACAGCAAUCUCCGAUCUUUCUACUAACGGAACGUUUUAAGAAACAAGAACACUAAUAAAACUAUCAAUCUUCUCAAUUCUUAAUAACAAUAUACAAAAUUUAGCAAAACAAGAACACUAAUAACACUAUCAAUCUUCUCAUUUCUUGAUAACAAUAUACAAAAUUUAACAAAACAAGAACACUAAUAACACUGUCAAUCUUCUCAUUUCUUGAUAACAAUAUACAAAAUUUAGCAAAACAAGAACACUAUCAAUCUUCUCAUUUUUUGAUAACAAUAAAGAAAAUUUAGCAAAACAAGAACACUAAUAACACUAUCCAUCCUUUCAUUUCUUGAUAACAAUAUACAAAAUUCAGCAAAACAAGAACCCUAAUAACACUAUCAAUCUUCUCAUUUCUUGAUAACAAUAUACAAAAUUCAGCAAAACAAGAACACUAAUAACAGUAUCAAUCCUCUCAUUUCUUGAUUACAAUAUACAAAAUUUAGCAAAACAAGAACAUUAAUAACAUUAUCAAUCUUCUCAUUUCUUGAUAACAAUAUACAAAAUUUAGCGAAACAAGAACACUACUAACACUAAAUCAAUCUUCUCAUUUCUUUUAAUAAACAAUAUACAAAAUUUAGCAAAACAAGAACACUAAUAACAUCUAAUCAAAUCUUCUCAAUUUCUGAUGUAACAAUAUACAAAAUUUAGCAAACCAAGAACAUAAUAACACUAUCAAUCUCUCAUCAUUUCUUGAUAAACAAUAUACAAAUUUUAUGCAAAACAAGAAACACUAAUAAACACUAUCAAUCUUUCCAUUUCUUGAUAACAAUAUACAAAAUUUAGCGAAACAAGAACAAUAAUAACACUACACAAUCUUUAUUCUGAAUAAACAAUAUACAAAAUUUAGCAAAACAAGAACCAUCUAAUAAGCAUUCUAUCAAAUCUUCUCAUUUCUUGAUAACAAUAUACAAAAUUUAGCAAACUAGAUACACUAAUACACUAUCAAUCUUUCUCAUUUCUUUGAUAACAAUAUAUCUACUAAAUAUUAGCAAAAACAAGAACACUAAUAACAAAUGUAUCAAUCCUCUCAUUUCUUAAUAACAAUCUAAAUAAAAUUUAGCAAACAAGACAAUAACACUUCAAUCCUCUCAUUCUGAUAACAAACAUAUAACAAACAAACACUAAUCACUAUCAAUCUUCUGCAUUUCUUGAUGAACAUAUACAAAAUUUUAGCAAAACAAGACACUAAUAACACAUAUCAAUCUUCUCAUUUUUGAUAACAAUAUACAAAUUAAAAAAAACCAAGAACACUAAUAACACUAUCAAUCUUCUCAUUUCUUAUAACAAUGAUACUAAAAUUUAGCAAAACAAGAACACUAAUAACACAUAUCAAUCUUCUGACUUUCUUGAUAACAAUAUAAAAAAAUUUAGCAGAAACAGAACACUAAUAAACUAUCAAUCUUCUCAUUUUCCUUAAUAACAAUAUACAAAUUUAAAAACAAGAACACUAAAUAACACUAUCAAUCUUCAUUUCUUGAUAAACAAUAUCAAAAUUAGCAAAACAACAUUAAUAACACUAGUCAUCUCUCAUUUCUUGAUACAAUAUACAAAUUUAGAAAAACAAGAACACUAUACACUAUCAUCUUCUCAAAUUUUCUUGAUAACAAUAUACAGAAAUUUAGCCAAUAACAAGAACACUAAUAACACUAUCAUCUCUCAUUUCUUGAUACAAUAUAUCAAAAUUCGCAAUACAAAGAAACUAUAACACUAUCAACUUCUCAUUCUUGAUAACAAUAUACAAAUUAGGCAAACACAAAACACUAAUAACACCUAUCAAUCUCUCAUUUCUUGAUAACAUAUACAAAAUUUAGCAAAACAAGAACAUAUAACAUUAUCCAUCUUCUCAUUUCUUGAUAACAAUAUACAAAUUUACGAAACAAGAACACUAAUAACACUAUCAAUCUUCCUCAUUUUUGAAUCAACAAUAUACAAAAUUUAGCAAAACAAGAAACUAAUAACACUAUCAAUCUUUCUCAUUUCUUGAUAAAAUAUACAAUUUAGCAAAAACAGAAGCACUAAUAACACUAUCAAUUGUCCUCAUUUUCUUUGAUAACAAAUACAAAAUUUAGCAAAAACAAGAACACUAUAACACUAUCAAUCUUCCAUUUCUUGAUAACAAAUACAAAUUUAGCAAAACAAGAACAAUAAUAACACUUCAAUCUUCUUUCCUUGAUAACAAUAUACAAAAUCUAGCAAAAAAGAACACUAAUAACACUAUCAAUCUUCUGUUCUUUUGAUAACAAUAUACAAAUUUGCAAAACAGAGAACACUAAUAACACUUCAUCUUCUCAUUUUUCAUAACAAUAUACAAAUUUACAAACAAGAACAUAAUAACAUAUCUAUCUUCUCAAUUUUCUUUGAUAACAAUAUACAAAUUUAGCAAAACAAGAACAUAAUAACACUAUCAAUCUUCUCAUUUCUGAUAACAAUAUACAAAAUUUAGCAAAACAAGAACAAAUAACAUAUCAAUCUUCUAUUUCUUGAUAACAAUAUACAAAUUUAGCAAAACAAGAACACUAAUAACACAAAUCUUCUCAUUCUUGAUAAAUAUACAAAAUUUAGCAAAACAAGAAACACUAAUAACAUUAUCAAUUCUCUCAUUUCUUAAUAACAAUACAUAAUUUAGCAAACAAGAACAUAAUAACACUGCUUCAUCUCUCAUUCUUGAUAACAAUAUACAAAAUAUAGCAAAACCAGAAACACUAAUACACUCAUCAAUCUUCUCAUUUCUUGAUAACAAUAUACAAAAUUUGCAACAGAACAUAAUACACUAUCAAUCUUCUCAUUUCUUGAUUAACAUAUACAAAAUUUAAAAAAAAACAAGAACACUAAUAACACUAUAUCUCUCAUUUCUUGAUAACAAUAAUACAAAAUUUAGCAAAACAAGACACUAAUAACAUUCAAUCUUCUCAUUUCUUGAUAAACAAUAUAAAAAAUUUAGCAAAACAAGAACAUAAUAACUAUCAAUCUUCUCAUUUCUUAAACAAUAUACAAAAUUUAGAAAAACAGAACACUAAUAACAUAUCAUCUUCUCAUUUCUUGAUAACAAUAUACAAAUUUAGCAACAAGAACACUAAUAACACUUCAAUCUUCUCAUUUUUGAUAACAAUAUACAAAAUUUAGCAAAACAAGAACACUAUCAAUCUUCUCAUUUUUGAUAACAAUAUACAAAAUUUAGCAAAACAAGAACACUAAUAACACUAUCAUCUCUCAUUUCUGAUAACAAUAUACAAAAUUCAGAACAAACAAGAAGCUUCAUUCUUGAUAACAACUAUCAUUCCAACAAGACAUAUCAUUCCAUGUCUGAUAAAUGAAAAUUUCUAAGCAAAUCAAGACACAAUAAACAUCCACUACAUUUGAACAAUUUUACGAACAAGAAAUGAUACACUCUCCAAUUCUCAUUCUGAUAACAAUAUACAAAUUUAGAAAACAAGAACUUAUCAAUCCUCUCAUUUCUUGAUAACAAUAUACAUAAUUUAGCAAAACAAGAACACUAAUAACACUAUCAAUCUUCUCAUUUCUUGAUAACAAUAUACAAAAUUUAGAAAAACAAGAACACUAAUAACACUAUCAAUCUUCACAUUUCUUGAUAACAAUAUACAUAAUUUAGCAAAACAAGAACAAUAAUAACACUCUCAGUCCUCUUUUUUCUUGAUAAUAAUAUACAAAAUUUAACAAAAGAAGAACACUAAUAACACUAUCAAUCUUCUGAUUUCUUGAUAACACUAUACAAAAUUUAGCAAAACAAGAACACUAAUAACACUGUCAAUCUUCUCAUUUCUUGAUAACAAUAUACAAAAUUUAGCAAAACAAGAACACUAUUAAUCUUCUCAUUUUUUGAUAACAAUUUACAAAAUUUAGCAAAACAAGAACACUAAUAACACUAUCCAUCCUCUCAUUUCUUGAUAACAAUAUACAAAAUUCAGCAAAACAAGAACCCUAAUAACACUAUCAAUCUUCUCAUUUCUUGAUAACAAAAUUUAGCACAAACAAGAACACUAAUAAACACUAUCAAUCUUUCUUGAUAACAAUAUACAAAAUUCAGCAAAACAAGAACACUAAUAACACUAUCAAUCUUCUCAUUUCUUGAUAACAAUAUACAAAAUUCAGCAAAACAAGAACACUAAUAACACUAUCAAUCCUGUCAUUUCUUGAUAACAAUAUACAAAAUUUAGCAAACCAAGAACAUUAAUAACAUUAUCAAUCUUCUCAUUUCUUGAUAACAAUAUACAAAAUUUAGCAAAAUAAGAACACUAAUAACACUAUCAAUCUUCUUAUUUCUUGAUAACAAUAUACAAAAUUUAGCAAAGCAAGAACACUAAUAACACUAUCAAUCUUCUCAUUUCUUGAUAACAAAAUAGAAAAUUUAGCAAAACAAGAACACUAAUAACAAUAUCAAUCCUCUCAUUUCUUGAUAACAAUAUACAUAAUUUAGCUAAACAAGAACACUAUCAAUCUUCUCAUUUCUUGAUAACAAUAUACAAAAUUUAGCAAAACAAGAACACUAAUAACACUAUCAAUCCUCUCAUUUCUUAAUAACAAUAUACAAAAUUCAGCAAAACAAGAACCCUAAUAACACUAUCAAUCUUCUCAUUUCUUGAUAACAAUAUACAAAAUUCAGCAAAACAAGAACACUAAUAACACUAUCAAUCCUCUCAUUUCUUGAUAACAAUAUAAAAAGUUUAGCAAACAAGAACACAAUAACACUAUCAAUCUUCUCAUUUCUUAAUACAAAUAUAGAAAAUUUAGCAAAACAAGAACACUAAUAACACUAAUCAAUCUCUCUCUUUCUUAGAUAACAAUAUACACAAAUUUUAGCAAAACAAGAACACUAAUAACAUUAUCAAUCUUCUCAUUUCUGAUAACAAUUAGACAAAUUUAGCAAAACAAGAACACUAUAUAACACUAUCAAUCUUUCUCAUUUCUUGAUAACAAUAUACAAAAUUAUAAAAACAGAAACACUAAUAACACUAUCAAUCUUCUCAUUUCUUGAUAACAAUAUAACAAAAUUUAGCAAAACAAGAACACUAAUAACACUAUCAAUCUUCUCAUUUCUUGAUAAAAAUAGCAAAAUUAGCAAAACAAGACACUAUAACAACUAUCAAUCUUCUCAUUUCUUAAUAACAAUAUACAAAUUUAGCAAAAAGAACACUAAUAACACUAUCAAUCUUUCCAUUUCUUGAUAACAAUAUACAAAAUUGCAAAACAAGAACACUAAUAACACUCAAUUCUUCUCAUUUCUUGAUAACAAUAUACAAAAUUUAGCAAAACAAGAACACUAUCAAUCUUCUCAUUUCUUGAUAACAAUAUACAAAAUUUAGCAAACAAGAAACACUAAUAACACUAUCAUCUCUCAUUUCUUGAUAACAAUAUACAAAAUUCAGCAAAACAAGAACCUAAUAACAUAUCAAUCUUCUCAUUUCUUGAUAACAAUAUACAAAAUUCAGCAAAACAAGAACAUAAUAACUAUCAAUCCUCUCAUUCUUGACAACAAUAUACAAAAUUAAGGCAAAACAAGAACAUUAAUAACAUUAUCAAUCUUCUCAUUUCUUGAUAACAAUAUACAAAAUUUAGCGAAACAAGAACACUAAUAACACUAUCAAUCUUCUCUUUUUUCUUAAUAACAAUAUACAAAAUUUAGCAAAACAAGAACACUAAUAACACUAUCAAUCUUCUCAUUUCUUGAUAACAAUAUACAAAAUUUAGCAAAAACAAGAACACUAAUAAACACAUCAAUCUUCUCAUUUCUUGAUAACAAUAUACAAAAUUUAGCAAAGCAAAGAACACUAAUAACACUAUCAAUCUUCUCAUUCUUGAAUAACAAAAUAGAAAAUUUAGGCAAAACAAGAACACUAAUAACAUCAAUCCUUCAUUUCUUGAUAACAAUAUACAAAUUUAGCAAAACAAACACUAAUAACAUAUCAACCUCAUUUCUUGAUAACAAUAUACAAAAUUUGCAAAACAAGAACACUAUAUUAACACUAUCAAUUUCUCAUUUCUUAAUAACAAUAUACAAAAUUUAGCAAAAAAAACAAAACAUAAUAACACUAUCAAUCUCUCAUUUCUUGAUAACAUAUACAAAAUUUGGCAAAACAAGAACACUAAUAACACUAUCAAUGCUUCUUCAUUUCUUGAUAACAAAUAUACAAAUUUAAAAACAAGAACACUAUAACAACUAUCAAUCUUCUCAUUUCUUGAUAACAAUAUACAAAAUUUAGCAAAACAAGAAACUAAUAACACUAUCAAUCUUCUCAUUUCUUGAUAACAAUAUCAAAAUUUAGCAAAACAAGAACACUAUAACACUAUCAAUCUUCUCAUUUCUUAAUAACAAUAUACAAAAUUUAGCAAAACAAGAACACUAAUAACACUAUCAAUCUCUCAUUUCUUGAUAACAAUAUACAAAAUUUAGCAAAACAAGAACACUAAUAACACUUCAAUCUUCUCAUUUCUUGAUAACAAUAUACAAAAUUUAGCAAACAAGAACACUAAAACACUAUCAAUCUUCUCAUUUCUUGAUAACAAUAUAAAUUUAGCAAAACAAGAACACUAAUAACAACAUCUCAUCCUCUAUUUCUGAUAACAAUAUACAAAAUUCAGCAAACAAGAACCCUAAUAACACUAUCAAUCUUCUCAUUUCUUGAUAACAAUAUACAAAAUUCAGAAACAAGAACACUAAUAACACUAUCAAUCUUCUCAUUUCUUGAUAACAAUAUAAAAUUUAGCAAAAACAAGAACAUUAAUAACAUUAUCAUCUUCUCAUUUCUUGAUACAAUAUACAAAAUUUAGCAAAAAAGAACACUAAUAACACUAUCAAUCUUCUCAUUUCUUGAUAACAAUAUACAAAAUUUAGCAAACAAGAAACUAAAACACUAAUAAUCUCUCAUUUCUUGAUAACAAUAUACAAAAAUUAUAGAAAACAAGAACACUAUCAAUCUUCCUCAUUUUUUGAUAACAAUAUCAAAAUUUAGCAAAACAGAACACUAAAACACUAUCUCUUCUCAUUUCUUGAUAACAAUAUACAAUUCGCAAAACAAGAACACUAAUAACACUAUCAAUCUUCUCAUUUCUUGAUAACAAUAUACAAAAUUUAGCAAAACAAGAACACUAAUAACACUAUCAAUCCUCUCAUUUCUUGACAACAAUAUACAAAAUUUAGCAAAACAAGAACAUUAAUAAACUAUCAAUCUUCUCAUUCUUAUAACAAUAUACAAAAUUUAAGCGAAACAAGAACACUAAUAACACUAUCAAUCUUCUCAUUUCUAUAAUAACGAAUAUACAAAAUUUAGCAAAAAAGAAAACACUAAUAACACUAUCAAUCUUCUCAUUUCUUGAUAACAAUAUACAAAAUUACAAAACAGAACAACUAAUAACACAUCAAUUUUCUCAUUUCUUGAUAACAUAUACAAAAUUUAGCCAAAAGCAAGAAACACUAAUAAACUAUCAAUCUUCUCAUUUCUUAAUAACAAUAAUAGAAAAUUUAGCAAAACAAGAAACACUAAAACACUAUCAAUCAUCUCAUUUCUUAAUAAACAAUACANNNNNNNNNNNNNNNNNNNNNGGCAAAAAAAGAAGGGAGAGGAGGGAGGAGUAGAGGGAAUAUAUAUCUGCAACAUACAGCCAGGAGAGUAUUAUAUUUAAUUUUAAUAUAGAGAGAAUUCACACACAUUACAGUAAGUAACUCAAUAUAUAUAAAUUAACAACAUCUCUAUAUGUAUUAUAAUAUACACAUAUAAUCUAUAUAUUAUCUCAAUCUAGUAUCACUAAUUAGAUAUCACUUAGAUCACAUACACCUUAUAACUCACAAAAAGAAUAUUUUAUAUAUAUAGCGCGAGAGAUAUAUAUACCACUCACUAGAAAAUACACAAAUCACAAAUUAUGACACCACUAUAUUCUUUCACAAAUGAGUUGACAUUAUAUAUAUAAAUACUAAAUAUUGUGUAGCAACAAUGAUAUAAUACUCACGCUUAUAAAUAACAUCUAUAGUAAGAAAGAAGAAAUAUUUAUGAAUAAACAAUCAUUGCUAUAUAAUAAUGAGAGAGUGCACAACACAUAAUAUAGGAACAUCAAUAUAGUAACAACAUAAUUCGGAUUAUGUCUCUCUCUAUAUGCUCAUAAUUUAUGCGUAUUAGAUAUAAAAAUAAUACAAAUAGCUUCUCACAUGCAAUAAAUGCAGGAUCACAAAUAUAUAUUAACACUAGUAAUCACAAACUUACUUACUCAUUUUUCUUGAAUAACUAAAUAUAUAACUUUUAAAGCACAUAACCACACGUAUAUUCACCUAAUAAACACUAUCAAUCUCUCAUUUCUUGAUAACAAUAUACAAAAUUUAGCAAAAACAAGAAACAACUAUAAUAACAUUAUCAAUUCGCUCUCAUUUCUUGAAAACAAUAUACAUAAUUUAGCAAAACAAGAACAAUAAAACACUCUCAAUCCUCUCAUUUCUUAAUACAAUAUACAAAAUUUAAGAAAAAGAAGAAACACUAAUAACACUAUCAAUCUCUGAUUUCUUGAUAACAAUAACAAAAUUAGCAAAACAAGAACACUAAUAACACUAUCAAUCUUCUCAUUUUCUUAUAACAAUAUACCAAAAUUUAAGCAAAACAAGAAACACUAAUAACACUAUCAAUCUUCUCAUUUCUUGAUAACAAUAUACAAAAUUUAGCAAAACAAGAACACUAAUAAACACUAUCAAUCUUCUCAAUUCUUGAUAACAAUAUACAAAAUUAAAAAAACAAAAGAACACUAAUAACACUAAUCAAUCUUCUCAUUUCUUGAUAACAAAUAUACAAUUUAAAAAACAAGAACACUAAUAACACUAUCAAUCUCUCAUUUCUUGAUAACAAUACUACAAAUUGCAAAACAAGAACACUAAUAACACUCAAUCUUCUCAUUUCUUAUAACAAUAAAAAAUUUAGCAAACAAGAACACUAAUAACACUAUCAAUCUUCUAUUUCUUGAUAAACAAUAUAAAAAAUUUAGCAAAAUAAAAACACUAAUAACACUAUCAAUCUUCUCAUUUCUUGAUAACAAUAUAAAAAAUUUAGCAAAAACAGAGACACUAAUAACACUAUCAAUCUUCUCAUUUCUUGAUAACAAUAUACAAAAUUUAGCAAAACAAAGAACACUAAUAAAACUAUCAAUCUUCUCAUUUCUUGAAUAACAAAUACAGAAUUUUAGCAAAACAAAGAACACUAAUAACACUAUCAAUCCUCUCAUUUCUUGAUACCAAUAUACAAAUUUAGCAAAACAAGAACACUAAUAAACUAUCAAUCUCUCAAUGUUCUUGAUAAUACAAUAUAUAAAUUUAGCACAAACAAGAACACUAAUAAACACUAUCAAUCUCUCAUUUCUUGAUAACAAUUACAAAUUUAGCAAAACAAGAACGUACUAAUAACACUAUCAAUCCUCAUUUCUUGAUAACAAUAUACAAAUUAGGAAACAAGAACACUAAUAACACUAUCAAUCUUAAUUUCUUGAUAACAAUAUACAAAAUUAGCAAAACAAGAACACUAAUAACACUAUCAUCUUCUCAAUUUCUUGAUAACAAAUAAUACAAAAAUUUAGCAAACAAGAACACUAAUAACACUAUCAAUCUUCUAAUUUCUUGAUAACAAUAUACAAAAUUUAGGAAAAAAGACAUGAUAACAUAUCAAUCUUCUCAUUCUUUUGAUAACAAAAUACAAAUUUAAGCAAAGCAAAGAACACUAAUAAAACUUCAAUUUCUCAUUUCUUGAUAACAAAAUAGAAAAAUUUUAGCAAAACAAGAACACAAAUUACUAUCAUCUUCUCAUUUCUUGAUAACAAUAUAUCAAAAUUAGCAAAACAAGAACAGCUAUAACAUUAAUGCAAUCCUCUCAUUUCUUGAUAACAAUAUACAUAAUUAGCAAAAACCAAGAAACACUAAUCAUCUUCUCAUUUCUUGAUAAUAAUAUACCCAAAAUUUAGCAAAACAGAACCAAUAACACUAUCGAUCCUCUCCCUUUCUUGAUAACAAAUAAAGUACGAAAUUCAGCAAAAAAGAACGCUAAUAACUACUAUCAGAUCUUCUCAUUUCUUGAUAACAAUAUACAAAAUUCAGCAAAACAAGAACACUAAUAACAUUAUCAAUCCUCUCAUUCUUGAUCAACAAAUAUAACAAAAUUUAGCAAAACAAGAACAUUAAUAACAUUAUCAAAUCUUUCCAUUUCUUGAUAACAAUAUAGAAAAUUUAGGCGAAACAAGAACACUAUAACACUAUCAAUCAUCCUUUCAUUUCUAAUAAUAAUAUAAAAUUUAGCAAAACAAGAACAACUAAAUAACACGUCAAAUCUUCACAUUUCUUGAUAAACAAUAUACAAAAUUUAGCAAAACAAGAACACUAAUAACACUAAUCGAUCUUCUCAUUUUCUUGAUAACAAUAUACAAAAUUUAAAGCAAAGCAAGACCACUAAUAACACUAUCCAAGCUUCUCAUUUCUUGAUAACAAAAUAGAAAAUUUAGCAAAACAAGAACACCUGAAUACACUAUCAUCCUUCUCAUCUCUUGAUAACAGUAUAUCAAAACUUUAGCAAAACAAGAACACUAAUAACAUUAUCAAUCCUCUCAUUUUCUUGAUAACAAUAUACAUAAUUUAGCAAAACCAAAACAAUAUACAACACUCUCAAUCCUCUCAUUUCUUAAUAACAAUAUACAAAAUUUAAGAAAAGAAGAACACUAAUGACACUAAUCAAUCUUCUGAUUUCUGAUAAACAAUCUACAAAAUAUAGCAAAACAAAGAACAUAAUAACACUAUGCAAAUCUUCUCAAUUUCUCAUAACAAUUAACAAAAUUUAGCAAAACAAAACACUAAAUAACACUAUCAUCUUCUCAUUUUUUGUACAAUAUAACAAAUUUAGCAAAACAAAGAACACUAAUAACACUAAUCAAUGCUUCUCAUUUCUUGAUACAAUAUACAAAAUUUUAGGCAAAACAAGAAACUAUAACACUAUCAAUCUUUCUCUAUUUCUUGAUAACAAUAUACAAAAUUUUUAAAAAAUAACAAGAACACAAUAACACUAUCAAUUUCUCAUUUCUCCUUGAUAACAAUAUACAAAAUUUAGCAAAACAAAAACACUAAUAACACUAUCAAUCUUCUAAUUUCUUGAUAAGCAAAUAUAAUCAAAAUUUUAGCAAAACAAUAACACUAAUACACUAUCAAUCUUCUCAUUUCUUUCUUGAUAACAAUAUACAAAACUUAAAAAAACAAAGAACACUAAUAAACACUACAUCUUCUCAUUUUUGAUAACAAAUUUACAAAACUUUAAAAAAACAAAAAACUAAUAACACUAUCAAUCUUCUCAUUUCUGAUAACAUAGAUAAAAUUUUGCAAAAACAACGAACACUAAUAACUACUGUCACUCUUCUCAUUUCUGAUAAACAAUAUACAAAAUUUAGCAAAACAAGAACACUAAUAACACUAUCAAUCUUCUGAUUUUCUUGAUAACAAUUUAUACAUAAUUUUGGCCAAAUAAAAACCUAAUAACACUAUAAAUCUCUUCAUUUCUUGAUAACGAUAUAAAAACUUAGCAAAAACAAGGACACUAAUAACACUAUCAAUCUUCACUUUCCUUGAUAUACAAUGAUACAAAAUUUAGCAAAACAGAAACACUAAUACAAAAACUAUCAAUCUUCUCAUUUCUUGAUAACAAUAACAGAAUUUUGCAAAACAAGAACAUUGAUAAACUAUCAAUCCUCUCAUUUCUUGAUAACAAUAUAACAAGAAUUUAGCCAAAAAAAGAACACUAAUAAACUCUAAUCCUCCAAUUUCUUGAUAAUAAUAUCAUAAAAUUUUAGCAAAACAAGAAACCAUAACACUAUCAAUCCUCUCAUUUAUUGAUAACAAUGUAACAGAAUUUAUCAAAGAACAAGAACACUAUAACACUUAUCAAUCCUCUUCAUUUCUGAUAACAAUUAGCAAAUUGCAGUAACAAAACAAGAAUACUAAUAUACUACUCUCAUCUUCUUCAUUUCUGAUAUACUAUAUUAUCAUAAAUUCAGCAAAACAUAGAACACUAUAACACUAUCAUCCUCUCAAUUUCUUGAAUAACAACAUACAAAAUUUAGCAAAACAAGAACAUUAAUAACAUUUAUCAAGUCUUCUCAUUUCCUUGAUAACAAUACUACAAAAUUUAGCAAAAACAAGAACACUAAUAACGAAUUUUCAAUUCUUUUUCAAUUUCCUUGAUUAACAAUAUACAAAAUUUAGCAGAAGCAAGAACAGACUAAUAAACUGAUCAAUCUUCUCAUCUUCUGAUAACAAAAAUAGAAAAUUUAGCAAAACAGAAGAAACACUAAUAACACUAAUCAUUCCUUCUCAUUUUCUUGAUAACAAUAUACAAAAAUUUAGCAAAACAGAACACUAAUAACAAUUAUCAUCCAAUCAUUUUCUUGAUAACAAUAUAUCAAAAUUUAGCAAACAAAAACAACUAAUAACACAAUCAAUCCUCCUCAUUUUCUUGAUUUAACAAUAUACAAAAUUCAGCAAAACAAGAACAGCCUAAUAACACUAUCAAUCUUUCAAUUUCUUAAUAACAAUAUACAAUUCAGCAAAACAAGAACACUAAUAACACUAUAUCCUCGUCAAUUUUCUUGAUAACAAUAUACAAUUUAAGCAAAAACAAGAACAUUAAUAACAUUAUCAAUCUUCUCAUUUCUUGAUAACAAUAUACCAAGUUAAGCAAAACAAGGACACUAAUAACACUAUCAAUCAUCUCAUUUCUUAAUAAUAAUAAUAUCAAAAUUUAGCAAAACAAGACCACUAAUAAACUAUGCAAUCUUCUCAUUUCUUGAUAACAAUAUAACAAAAUUUAAGCAAAACCCAAGAACACUCAUUAACACUAUCAUCUUCUCAUUUCUUGAUAACAACAUAACAAAUUACAAACCCAAGAACACUAAUAACACUAUCAAUCUCACAUUCUUGAUAAGCAAAUAUACAAAAUUUAGCAAACAAGAACAUUAAUAAACUAUCAAUCCUCUCAUUUCUUGAAUAACAAUAUACAAAUAUUCAGCAAAACAAGAACCUAAUAACAACUAUCAAUCUUCUCAUUUCUUGAAUAACAAUAUAAACUAAAAUUCAGCAAGAAGCAAGAACACUAAUAACCACUGUCAAUCCUCUCAAUUUCUGAUAACAAUUCAAAUUAAGCAAAACAAGAAAUAUUAAUAACAUAUCAAUCUUCUCAUUCUUAUAACAAUAUACAAGAAUUUGGCGAAACAAGGAACACCUAAUAACACAGAAUCAAUCAUCGUCAUUUUUAAUAAUAAUAUACAAAAUUUAGCACCACAAGAACACGUAAUAACACUACAAUCUUCUCAUCUUGAAUAACAAUAGUAUAAAUUAGCAAAACAAAGAAUAACUAAUAACGACUAUCACUCUUCGUCUUUCUUGAUAAGAAAAUACAAAAGUUUUAGCAAAACAAGAACAGCUAAUAACACUUUAUCGAAUCUUCACAUUUCUUGAUAACAAUAUACAAAAUUUAGGCAAAACCAAGAACACUAAUAACACUAUCAAUCCUCAUCAUUUCUUGAUAACAAUAUACGAAAUUCAGCAAACAAGAACCUAAUACACUAUCAAUCUUCACAUUUUCUGAUAACCAAUAUAAUAAUUUAUGCAAAACAAGAACACUAAUAACACUAUCCAAUCCUCUCAUUUAUUGAUAACAAUGUACAGAAUUUCAGCAAAGACAAGAACACUAAUAACACUAUCAAUCCUCAUCAUUUCUUCCUUGAUAACAAUAACAAAAUUCAGCAAAACAAGAAACACUAAUAACACUAUCAAUCUUCUCAUUUCUUGAUAACAAUAUACAAAAUUUCAGCAAAACAAGAACACUAUAACACUAUCAAUCCUCUAUUUCUUGAUAAACACAUACAAAAUUUAGCAAACAAAACAUUACUCAAGCAUUAAUCAAUCUUCUCAUUUCUUGAUAACAAACAAAAUUAGCAAAACAAGACACUACUAAUAACCUUUCAAUCUUCUCAUUUCUUGAUAACAAUAUACAAAUUUAGCAAAACAAGACACUAAUAACACUAUCAAUCUUCUCAUUUCUUGAUAACAAAUACAAAAUUUAGCAAAAGAAGAACACUAAAUACACUAUCAAUCUUCUCAUUUCUUGAUACAAUAUACAAAAUUUAGCAAAACAAGAACACUAAUAACAAUUCAUCCUCUCAUUUCUUUGAUAACAAAUACAAAAUUUAGCAAAAACAAGAGAACACUAUAACACUAUCAAUCCUCUCAUUUCUUGAUAACAAUAUACAAAAUUUCAGCAAAACAAGAACCCUAAUACACAUUCAAUCUUCUCAUUCUCUUAUAAACAAUAUACAAAAUUCAGCAAAACAAGAACACUAAUAACACUAUCAAUCCUCUCAUUUCUGAUAACAAUAUACAAAAUUUAGCAAAACAAGAACACUUAAUAACACUAUCAAUCGUUCUCAUUUUGAUAACAAUAUACAAAUUUAGCAACAAAACAAGAACACUAAUAAACAUUAUCAAUCCUCUCAUUCUUUGAUGAACAAUAUACAAAAUUUAGCAAAACAAGAACACUAAUAAACACUAUCAAUCCUCUCAUUUCUUGAAACAAAUAUACAAAAUUCAGCAAAACAAGAACCCUAAUAACACUAUCAAGCUUCUCAUUUCUUGAUAACCAAUAUACAAAAAAUUCAGCAAAACAAGAACACUAAUAACACUAUCAAUCCUCUCAUUUCUUGUAACAAUAUACAAAUUAGCAAAACAAGCAACGAUUAUAACAGUUAUCAAUCUACUCAUUCUUGAUAACAAUAUACAAAAAGUUAGCGAAAACAAGGACACUAAUAACACUAUCAAUAUCUCAUUUCUUUAAUAAUAGAAUAUACAAAAUUAGCCAAACAAGACCCCUAAUAACCACUAUUCAAUCUUCUCAUUCUUGAUAACAAUAUCAAAUUUAGCCGAAAAACAAAGAACACUAAUUACACUAUCAAUCUUUCUCAUUUCUUGAUAAAAACAUACAAAAUUUAGCAAAACAAAGACAUAUAACACUAUUCAUCUUCACAUUCUUAUACAAUAUACCAAUUUAGCAAAACCAAGAAACACUAAAUAACACUAUCAAUCAAACAAGAACACUAAAACACUGAUAAUCUUCUCAUUUCUUAAUAACAAUAUACAAAUUCUAGCAAACAAGACACUAAUAACAUAUCAAUCUUCUCAUUUCUUUAUAAACAAUAUACAAAAUUUAGCAACAAGGAACAUUAAUAACAUAUAAUCUUCUUCAUUUCUGCUAAACAAUAUACAAAAUUUAGCGCAAACAGAACAGCUAAUAACACUUAUCCAAUACUUCUCAUUCUCUAAAUAACCAAUAUAAAAUUUAAACAAACAAGAAUAAUAACACAUAUCAAUCUUCUAUUCUUGAUAACAAUAGAUACAAAUUUGCAAAACAAGAACACAAAUCACUAUCAAUCUCUCAUUCUAUAUGAUAACAAUAUACAUAAAUUUAGCAACAAGAAACAUAUCAACUAUCAUCUCUAUUUCUAUAAACAAUAGAAAAUUUAGCAAAACAAGAACCUAAUAACACUAACAUCCUUCUCAUUUCUGGAUAACAAUAUACAAAUUUAGCAAACAAGAACACUAUCACCAUUAUCAAUCUCUUCAUCUUCUGAUACUUACAUAUUUGCCAAAAGACCAAUGACACAAUAUCUCACAUAAAACGUCAAUUUACAACCGAACACUAAUAACUAUAUCAUCUGUAAAACAAUCUAUAUUACAAAAUGUAACUCCUCUUCUCGAUCAAUUUCAAAUUGAAACGAAAACCUAAUACAUUAUAAUUUCAUUUAUAUCAAGCAAAACAAGAACUUAAAUACAUCUAUCACAGUUCUCUCAUUUUUAUUAACAAUAUACAAAAUUUAGCCAACAAGACACUAUAUAACGCCUCUCUACUAUCAAUAUAAAUCGCAACAAGUAUCUGCAAUUUCUUAUCUAUAACCAUAUACAAUUAGCAAACAAAGAAACAUUAAACAUCUAUCAAUCUUCUCAUUCUUGAUAACGAAUAUACAAAAUUUUAGCGAAAACAAGAAACACUAAUAACACUAUCAAUCUUCUAUUUACUUAGAUAACAAUACACAAAAUUUUAGCAAAACAAGAACACAACAACUAUCAUCUUCUCAUUUUAUAUAACAAUAUACCAAACAUUAGCAAAAAAGAACAUACUAAAACACAUUAUCAUUCCUUCUCAUUUCUUUGAUAACAAUUAUACAAAAUUCAGCCAAAGACAGAGAACCAUAAAACAUAGUCAAUCUUCUCAUUUCUUAAUAACAAAUAGCAAAUUUUAGCAAAACAAGGAACACUAAAUCAAAACACUAAUCAAUUUUCCAAUCUUCAUUUCUUGAUACCAAUAUACAAAAUUUAGCAAAACAAGAACACUAAUAACACUGUCAAUCUUCUCAUUCCUUGAUAACAAUAUACAAAAUUUAGCAAAACAAGAACACUAAUAACACUAUCAAUCCUCUCAUUUCUUAAUAACAAAAUAGAAAAUUUAGCAAAACAAGAACAUUAAUAACACUAUCAAUCUUCUCAUUUCUUGAUAACAAUAUACAAAAUUUAUCAAAACAAGAACACUAAUAACACUAUCAAUCCUCUCAUUUCUUGAUAACAAUAUACAAAAUUCAGCAAAACAAGAACACUAAUAACACUAUCAAUCUUCUCAUUUCUUGAUAACAACAUACAAAAUUUAGCAAAAGAAGAACACUAAUAACACUAUCAAUCUUCAUAUUUCUUGAUAACAAUAUACAUAAUUUAGCAAAACAAGAACACUAAUAACACUAUCAAUCUUCUCAUUUCUUAAUAACAAAAUAGAAAAUUUAGCAAAACAAGAACACUAAUAACACUAUCAAUCUUCUCAUUUCUUGAUAACAAUAUAAUACUAUCAAUAUCUUCUCGAUUCGGGUUUUGUAGGAUAACAAUAUUAAAAUUUUUAAAAGAAGAAAAAAAAAAAAAAAAAGAAAGAAGAAAAAAACAAGAGAAAAGCACGAGCUCAUAACAUAAUCGAGAUCUGCUUCAUUUUCUUCCGAUAACGAAUAUACAAAAGUUUAGCCCCACCCCCCGCCGCCGCACGCCCACGCCCAGCCACCCCACCACGCCCCCGCCACACACCCCCCAAGCCCCAAAACCUAGAACGACUAACAUAAACACUAUCAAUCUUCUCAUUUUCUUGAAACAUAUACAAGAAUUUAGCCAAAAAAACAAGAACCAACGUAAUAAAAAACUAUCAGGUCUUUCAAUUUCUUUAAAAAUAACAAUAUACAAAAAUUUUAGGCAAAACACAAAGAACACAAUAACACUAUCAAUGUCUUCUCGAUUUCUUUGAUUAACAAUAUACAAAAGUGUUAGCAAAACAAAGAAACACAAAAACACGGUAUUCAAUCUUCUCCAGUUCCUGAAUAACAAUAUUACCAAAUUUCUAGCAAAAAACAGAAACCAUAAUAACACAUUCAAUCUUCUCAUUUCUGAUGAACAAAUAUGACAAAAAUUAUAGCCAAACACUAAAACACUAAUAACCACUUCAAUUCUUUCUCAGUUUCUUAAAUUACGAAUAUAGAAAAGUUUAGCAAAGAUAAUUAACACUAAUAACACUAUCAAUCUUCUCAUUCCUUGAUAACAAUAUACCAAAAUUUAGCAAAACAAGAACACUAAUAAACCUAAUUCAAUCUCUAAUUCUUUUGUGACAAUAUAAAAAUUUAGCAAAACGAGAACACUAAUAACGACUAUCGAAUCUUCUCAUUUCUUGAUAACAAUUAUACAGAAAUUUAGCAAAACAAGAAAAUACUAGUAAAACUAUUCAAUCUUCUCAUUUCUUGAACCAAUAUACAAAAAUUAUAGCAAAACAGAAACACUAAUAACACUAUCAACUUAUUCCAUCUUAAUAACAAUUAUACAAAAUUUACAAAAAACAGGAGAACAUAUAUAACACAUCAAUCUCUUCUCAUUUCUUGGAUAAAAUGUAGCAAAAUGUUGCAAAUAAGAACACUAUAACUACUAUCAAUCUUCUGAUUUCUUGAUAACAAUAUACCAAAAUUAAAACAAAACAAGACACUAAUAACACGUAUCAAUCUUCUCAUUUCUUGAUAAACAAUAUACAAAAAUUUAGGCAAGGUAAGCAGAACACUAAUAACACAUCAAUCUUCUCAUUUCUUGAUAAGCAAUGAUACAAAAUUUAAGCAAAAACAAGAACACUAAUAACACUAUCAAUCUUUCAUUUCAUAAUUACACUAGACACACUGAACAAUCAAUUCCAAUCUUAGCUACAAAAUUAGCAAAACAAAAUACACUAAUAACACUAUCUAAUCUUUUCAUUUUACGAUAAACAAUAUACAAAAGUUAGCAAAAAACAAGAACACUAAUAACACUAUUUCAAUCUUCCAUUUCUAAUAACAAUAUAGAAAAUUAGCAAACAAUAAUACACUAUACACUAGUCAAUGCUUCUCAUUUCUUGAUAACAAUAUAAAAAUUUAAAAAAAAAAACAAGAACACUAAUAACACUAUCAAUCUGUCUCAUUUCUUAAUAACAACUAUACAAAAUUAUAAAACUAAGAUCAUAAUAACACUAUCUAAUCUCUCAUCUUCUGGAUAACAAUAAUACAGAAAUUUAGCAAAACCAUGAUACACUAAAUAACACUAUCAAUCUUCCUCAUUUGCUUAAUAACAAUUAUACAAAAUUGCUCAGCAAACAAUGAAGACAACUAAUAACACUAUCAAUCUUCUCAUUCUUGAUAAAAUAUACAAACAAUUUUAGCAAGACUAAGAAACACUAAUAACACUUCGAAUCUUCUAUUCCUUGAUAACAUAUUACAAAAUUUAGCAAACGAAGAACACUAUCAACAUAUAUCUUCUCAUUUCUUUGCAUAAACAAUAUACAAAAGUUAGAAAACAAGCCAACACUUAAUAACACUACUCAAGUCUCUGCAUUUACUUGAUAACAAUAUUACCAAAAUUUCAGCCAAAACAAGAACACCUAAUAACACUAUCAAUGCUUCUCAUUUCUUAAUAACAAUAUUACAAAAUUAGACCAAAACCAAGAACACUUAGAUAGAGCACUAUUCAAUACUCUCUCAUUUCUCCUGGAUAACAAUUAUACAAAAAUUUAGCGAACAAGAACACUAUAAUAACACUAUCAAUCUUUCUUUCCCUUCAUAACAAUAUACAAAAAUUUAGCAAAACAAUGAACCAUCAAAUAACACUAUCAAUACUUCUCAUUUGGCUUCAAUAACAAUAUUACACAAAUUGUAACAACAAACAAGCAACAUCUAAGUACACAGGCUAUUCAAUCUUCUCAUUUCUCGUGAUUAAACAAUAUACAAAAAUUUGCAAAGCAAGAACCUAAUAAACUAUCAAUGCUUGUCUUCUUCAAUAGCAAAAUGAUCAAAAUAUUUAGAUAAAAACAAGAAUCACUAUAUAACACUAUCAAUCUAUACUCAUUUCAAUUCUAAAACUACAAAAAUCUUACGUAAAACAAGAAACACGAUCAUUAAUAACACUAUCCAACCUCUCAUUUGAUAACAAUAUAAAAUUGAAAAAACGAAAAUAAAACAUAUAAUUAGUCUGCAUUAUAACAACAUCAAAAUUUGCACAAACAAGAAACUAAACUAACCGAUCAAUCUUCUCAUUUCUUGAUAACAAUAUACAAAAUUUAGAAAAACACGAACACUAAUAACACUAUCAAUCUUCUCAUUCCUUGAUAAACAAUAUACAUAAACUUGCAAAACAAGAACACUAAUAACACUAUCAAUCUUCUCAUUUCUGUAUAAACAAAUACAAAAUUUAGAAAAACAAGAACACUAAUAACACUAUCAAUCUUCUCAUUUCUGAUAACAAUAUACAAAAGUUGCAAAACAGAACACUAAUAACACUAUUCAAUCUUUCUCAUUUCUUAAUACAAUAUAGAAAAUUUAGCGAAAUAAGAAACACUAAUAACACUAUCAAUCUUCUCAUUUCUUGAUAACAAUAUAACAAAAUUUAGCUAAACAAAGAAUUACUAAGUUAAAACUAUCACAUCCUCUCAUUUCUUGAUAACAAUAUACAAAAUAUUAAAGCAAAACAAGGAACACUUAUAACACUAUCAAUCUUCUUCAUUCUUGAUAACAAUAUACAAAAUUUAGAAAAACAAGAACACUAAUAACACUAUCAAUCUUCUCAUUUCUGAUAACUAUAUACAAAAAUUUAGCAAAACAAGAACACUAAUAACACUAUCAUUCUUCUCAUUUCUUAAUAACAAUAUAGAAAAUGUAGCAAAACCAAGAACUAAUAAAACACUAUCAAUCUUCUUCAUUUCUUAAUCAAUAUACAAANNNNNNNNNUACAAACAAUAUACAAAAUUUAGCAAACAAGAACACAAUACACUAUCAAUCUUCAUCUUUUGUACUAAAAUUUAGCAAAAAACAAGAACACUAAUAACACUAUAAUCCAUUCUCUCAUUUACAAUUAUUAACAAUAUACAAAAUUUUAACAGCAAAACAAGACUCUAAUAACAUAUCAAUCUUCCAUUUCUUGAUAAACAAUAUACAAAUUUAGCAAAACAAGAAACAUAAAACACUAUCAAUCUUCUCAAUUUCUGAUAACAAUAUAAAAUUUAGCAAACAAGAACACUAAUAACACUAUCAAUCUUCUCAUUUCUUGAUAACAAUAUACAAAAUUUAGCAAAACAGAACACUAAUAACACUAUCAAUCUUCUCAUUUCUUGAUAACAAUUAUACAAAUUGAGCAAAACAGAACACUAAUAACACUAUCAAAUCUUUUCUCAUUUCUUGAUAACAAUAUACAAAAAUUUAGCCAAACAAGAACACUAAUAAACACUAUCGAAUCUUCGUCAUUUCUGAUAACAAAUACAAAAUUUAGCAAAACAAGAACACUAAUAACACUAUUCAAUCUUCUCAUUUCUUUAAUAACAAUAUACAAAAUUUAAAAGAAACAACACUUUAAUAAACACUAUAUCAAUCUUCUCAUUUCUUGAUAACAAUUACAAAAUUAGCCAAACAAGAACACUAAUAACACUAUCAAUCUUCUCAUUUCGUUGAUAACAAUAUAAAAUUAGCAAAACAAGAACACUAAUAAACACUAUCAAACUUUUCUCAUUCUUUGAUAACAUAUACAAAAAUUUAGAAAACAAGAACACUAAUAACACUAUCAAUGCUUCUCUUUCUGAUAACAAUAUACAAAAAUUUAGCAAAACAAGAACACUAAUAACACUAUCAUCUUCUCAUUUCUUAUAGACAUAUACAAAUUUAGCCGAACUAAACGUACACGAAUCUGCUCAUUCCAUACAAAUAGAAAUACAAAACAAGAACACUAAUAACACUAUCAAUCUUCUUCAUUUCUUGAAUAACAAUAUACAAAAUUUAGCAAAACAAGAACACUAAUACACUAUCAAUCUUCUCUUUUCUAAAACAAUAUAAAAUUUAGCAAACAAGAACACUAAUAACACUAUCAAUCUUCUAUUUUUGAUAACAAUAUACAAAAUUUCAGCAUAAACAAGAAACUAAUAAACUAUCAAUCUCUCUUUCUUUAUAACAAUAACCAAAAUAUAGCAAAACAAUAACACUAAAACACUAUCAAUCUUCUCAUUUCUUGAUAACAAUAUACAAAAUUUAGCAGAAACAAGAACAUAAUAACACUAUCAAUCUUCUCAUUUCUGAAUAAACAAUAUAAAAAAAUUAGCAAAACAAGAACACUAAUAAUACUAUCAAUCUUUCUCAUUUCUUGAUAACAAUAUACAAAAAUUAGCAAACAAGAACACUAAUAACACUAUCAAUCUUCUCAUUUCUUAUAACAAAUAAAAAUUUAGCAAAACAAAACACGUAAUAACACUAUCAAUCUUCUCAUUCUUAAUAACAAUAUACAAAAAUUUAAAAAAACAAGACAUUAAUAAACAUAUCAAUCUCUCAUUUCUUGAUAACAAUAUACAAAAUUUGCAAAACAAGAACACUAAUAACACUAUCAAUCUUCUCAUUUCUUCGAUACAAUAUACAAAUUUAGGCAAAACAAGAACACUAAUAAACACUAUCAAUCUUCUCAUUUCUUGAUUACAAUAUAACAAAAUUUAGCAAAAACAAGAACACUAAUAACACUAUCAAUUUCUCAUUCUUGAUAACAAUAUACAAAAUUUAGCAAAACAAGAAACACUAAUAACCUAUCAAUCUUCUCAUUUCGUUGAUAACAAUAUACAAAAUUUAGCAAAAACAAGAACACUAAUAACACUAUCAAUCUUCUCAGUUUCUUGAUAACAAACAAUAUACAAAAUUUGGCAAAACAAGAACACUAAUAACACUAUCAAUCUUCUCAUUUCUUGAUAACAAUAUACAAAAUUUAGAAAAACAAGAACACUAAUAACACUAUCAAUCUUCUCAUUCCUUCAUAACAAUAUACAAAAUUUAGCAAAACAAGAACACUAAUAACACUAUCAAUCUUCUCAUUUCUUGAUAACAAUAUACAAAAUUUAGAAAAACAAGAACACUAAUAACACUAUCAAUCUUCUCAUUUCUGGAUAACAAUAUACAAAAUUUAGCAAAACAAGAACACUAAUAACACUAUCAAUCUUCUCAUUUCUUAAUAACAAUAUAGAAAAUUUAGCAAAACAAGAACACAAAUAACACUAUCAAUCUUCUCAUUUCUUGAUAACAAUAUAAAAAAUUUAGCUAAACAAGAAUACUAAUAAAACUAUCAAUCCUCUCAUUUCUUGAUAACAAUAUACAAAAUAUAGCAAAACAAUAACACUAAUAACACUAUCAAUAUUCUCAUUUCUUAAUAACAAUAUACAAAAUUUNNN